Molecule: ribosomal RNA, 169 nt
Filed under: uncultured Acetobacter sp.
Lineage: Bacteria; Pseudomonadati; Pseudomonadota; Alphaproteobacteria; Acetobacterales; Acetobacteraceae
Description: partial 16S ribosomal RNA
Rfam family: Bacterial small subunit ribosomal RNA
Source: RNAcentral
UCUACGGGAGGCAGCAGUGGGGAAUAUUGGACAAUGGGGGCAACCCUGAUCCAGCAAUGCCGCGUGUGUGAAGAAGGUCUUCGGAUUGUAAAGCACUUUCGACGGGGACGAUGAUGACGGUACCCGUAGAAGAAGCCCCGGCUAACUUCGUGCCAGCAGCCGCGGUAAA